GCCACUUUUUUGUGUGAAUACCUUUUUAUAAAAGCAUACGUUUUCCUUGAAAUUUGCCAAAAGUCCUGCAAGCCACUGAACGAUUCCAACGUCGUCGCCGAAGUCUAAUGGAACCGGAGAAAAGAAUUUCAUGUGGUACAGCACCAACUCUUGGAAUUUUUCGAUAGCAAUUCAUUUCGAAUGAGGAAGUGUUCCUGAAAGUCUAGAGUCAUUAUCGCAAAAAACAUCUAGUUGUUUUCUUCGAGCAAGUAUACCCAUCUGUUUGCUACAGAAGCCACCUGGCGGAAGAGAGAUGCAGAGGUGCAUGGAAGAUGAGUGAUUUGCACUGAAGUAAAACUAAAAGACGUGUUUGGCGGACUGGCAGUGAAAGCGCGUCUAACAAUAAGAUUUGUAAAAACACAAAGAGAUGUAUGACCGUAAUAACGUAAUGCCAUUUAGCAGACACUUUUCCUGGUAUCGGCAGCUUCUGACUGAACUGUUUCUACGUGACAGAUGUUGACAUUUAUUUCUUUUCUCAUUUAUUUUCAUUUUGUCUUCGCUUUUCUUGGAUAUAAGCGUGGGAUAAAUUGUGGAACGUAGGGAUCAAUUAGGCCUCCGGUGAAUUCCGUCACCGUACAUUGGCAGGAGGAUUCUUCAUAAUGGUGAUGAUUUAGUUUGUAGCAUUCUUGUGACAUUUUGAAAAUCGAUAUUUCAAAGCGUAACGUUACGCUAUCUAACGCUUUGCCUUAGACGCAGUAUCGAACCUCUGGGUGUGAGAAGCAACUUUUCUGAAACAAGAACCUUGAAUUCAAGUGUAGGAAAUGCAGAGUCGAAACACUGGUUUGCUGCCAAAUAUAAGUGCACAGAUGAAUGAAUCUCAGUCGUCAUCUUGCCUCU
This is a long non-coding RNA of Lingula anatina, 876 nucleotides long. NCBI's taxonomy places the organism in Eukaryota, Metazoa, Brachiopoda, Lingulata, Lingulida, Lingulidae. The record is from RefSeq and is a predicted model, not a curated record.